This is a non-coding RNA of Rattus norvegicus (Norway rat), 795 nucleotides long. Lineage: Eukaryota; Metazoa; Chordata; Mammalia; Rodentia; Muridae. The record is from the annotation of a RefSeq genome assembly.
AGUGGGAUCUAGACCUAAGUUACAAAAUCUUCACCUUCACAGAUCAGCACUCAGGACAGACCUGACACUAUGAAGUUGUUGCUAAACUGGGUUUUUCUAGUAACACUUUUAAAUGGUAUUCAGUGUGAGGUGAAGCUGGUAGAAUAUGGAGGAGGUUUGGUGCAGCCUGGGGCUUCUCUCAGACUCUCCUGCGAAGCUUCUGGAUUCACCUUCAGUGAUUUCUACAUGGAGUGGAUCCGACAGGCUCCAGGGAAAGGACUGGAGUGGAUUGCAGCAAGUAGAAACAAAGCUAAUGAUUAUUCAACAGUGUACAGUGCAUCUGUGAAGGACCGAUUCACCAUCUCAAGGGAUACUUACAAAAGCAUCCUCUAUCUUCAGAUGAACACACUCAAACCUGAGGAUACUGCCAUUUAUUACUGUGCAAGAGAUUCACACAGUGAGGAGACUUCAGUGUUAGCCCUGACAAAAACUUGCUUACAAGAUUUCUCAGUAUCAGCAGGGGGCGCACAUGACCAGAGAAAAAGACUGCAUUAUUUCUCCAGAGGUGCCCAAGCACAGAUCCAGUUGUUACAGUCUGGACCUGAGCUGAAGAAGUCUGGGGAGUCAGUGAAGAUCUCCUGCAAGGCUUCUGGGUAUACCUUCACAGACAGUGGAAUGCACUGUGUGAAACAUGCUCCAGGAAACAGCUUAAUGUGGAUGGUCUUGAUCAACACCCAAACUGAGAAGCCAAAACAGGCUGAUGAUUUCACAGGGAGAUUUGUCUUCUCUUUGGAAACUUCUGCCAGCACUGCAUAG